This 253-nucleotide ribosomal RNA is filed under the name uncultured bacterium. RNAcentral describes it as "partial 16S ribosomal RNA". It matches the Rfam family "Bacterial small subunit ribosomal RNA", at positions 524 to 776 of the family's 1533-position model. The record is from RNAcentral.
GACAGAGGGUGCAAACGUUGUUCGGAAUUACUGGGCGUAAAGCGUGUGUAGGCGGUCUGCUAAGUCGGGUGUGAAAGCCCCGGGCUCAACCCGGGAAGUGCACUCGAAACUGGCAGGCUAGAGUAUCGGAGAGGUUGGUGGAAUUCUCGGUGUAGAGGUGAAAUUCGUAGAUAUCGAGAGGAACACCGGUGGCGAAGGCGGCCAACUGGACGAAUACUGACGCUGAGACUCGAAAGCGUGGGGAGCAAACAGG